Molecule: ribosomal RNA, 300 nt
Filed under: uncultured Bacillus sp.
Lineage: Bacteria; Bacillati; Bacillota; Bacilli; Caryophanales; Bacillaceae
Description: bacterial SSU rRNA
Rfam family: Bacterial small subunit ribosomal RNA
Source: RNAcentral
GUUAGGCAGCGGCCGGGGGCGGCGGUAAUAGGUGGGGGGAAAGGGUUGUACGGAUUUAGUGGGCGUAAAGAGCGUGUAGGCGGCCAAGCAGGUCCGCUGGGAAAACUCGAGGCUCAACCUCGAGAGGUCGGUGGAAACCGGUUGGCUAGAGUCCGGAAGAGGAGAGUGGAAUUCCCGGUGGAGCGGUGAAAUGCGCAGAUAUCGGGAAGAACACCCGUGGCGAAGGCGGCUCUCUGGGACGGUACUGACGCUGAGACGCGAAAGCGUGGGGAGCGAACAGGAUUAGAUACCCGAGUAGUC